GACGAACGCUGGCGGCGUGCUUCAUACAUGCAAGUCGAACGAGAAGCUGACUUCGGUCAGUGGAAAGUGGCGGACGGGUGAGUAAUAUGUAGGAAAUCUGCCUUUAGGAGGGGGACAACAGAGGGAAACUUCUGCUAAUACCCCAUAUGAGCGUAGCUGAAAUGCUAUUCUUGAAAACUCCGGUGCCUAAAGAUGAGCCUGCAUCUGAUUAGCUAGUUGGUAGUGUAAUGGACUACCAAGGCGACGAUCAGUAGCUGGUUUGAGAGGAUGAUCAGCCACAAUGGGACUGAGACACGGCCCCUACUCCUACGGGAGGGAGCAGUAGGGAAGUUUGCGCCAUGGGCGAAAGCCUGACGCAGCAACGCCGCGUGAACGAUUAAGCCCUUCGGGGUGUAAAGUUCUGUCAGUGGGGACGAAACUUGACGGUACCCACAGAGGAAGCACCGGCUAACUCCGUG
RNAcentral lists this ribosomal RNA (458 nucleotides) under uncultured bacterium. Its description in RNAcentral is "partial 16S ribosomal RNA". It matches the Rfam family "Bacterial small subunit ribosomal RNA", at positions 28 to 507 of the family's 1533-position model. The record is from RNAcentral.